Molecule: ribosomal RNA, 492 nt
Filed under: uncultured bacterium
Lineage: Bacteria
Description: partial 16S ribosomal RNA
Rfam family: Bacterial small subunit ribosomal RNA
Source: RNAcentral
AGUGAACGCUGGCGGUAGGCCUAACACAUGCAAGUCGAACGGCAGCACAGUAAGAGCUUGCUCUUACGGGUGGCGAGUGGCGGACGGGUGAGGAAUACAUCGGAAUCUACUUUUUCGUGGGGGAUAACGUAGGGAAACUUACGCUAAUACCGCAUACGACCUACGGGUGAAAGCAGGGGAUCUUCGGACCUUGCGCGAUUGAAUGAGCCGAUGUCGGAUUAGCUAGUUGGCGGGGUAAAGGCCCACCAAGGCGACGAUCCGUAGCUGGUCUGAGAGGAUGAACAGCCACACUGGAACUUAGACACGGUCCAGACUCCUAAGGGAGGCAGCAGUGGGGAAUAUUGGACAAUGGGCGCAAGCCUGAUCCAGCCAUACCGCGUGGGUGAAGAAGGCCUUCGGGUUGUAAAGCCCUUUUGUUGGGAAAGAAAAGCAGCAGGUUAAUACCCCGCUGUUCUGACGGUACCCAAAGAAUAAGCACCGGCUAACUUCGUG